AAUAAAACAUACUUGAGUUACUAAAUAAAAUUAAUUCUUUAUAUCUAUUAAAGCAUUUUUAAAUUAAGUAAAGGUGAUUAAAAUUUAUUAAUAAAACAUCAAUAUAAGUACUGAGAAGGAAAACUUUAAAUUAUAUAAUAGAAAAACCUAAAAUUUGUACCUUUUGCAUCAUGGCUUAGCUAGAUUUAAAUUCUAAUUAUAAUUUCUCGAAAUCUAAUGAGCUAUUCUUAGUUCUUAUUUUAGUACUAUACAAACUAGUUGUGGCAAAAACUUUUUGAAAAUUAAGAAUAGAAAUGAAAUUUUAUACGAAUUAGAUGAUAGCUAGUUCUUUUAAAAAAACAUAUAAGUGUUACUAAUUAAAUUUUUACGAAAAAUAUUUCCAAAUAAAAUUUAAUUAUGGCAAAUUAUUGAGGAUAAGCUCAAUAAUUAAUUUACUUAAUGAAGCACGUAAUUCUUUAUUAGAUUUAAGCUUGAAAAUAGCUAUAAUACUAAGAUUUUGUUAUAAUUUUAUAUAAUUCUUAGGAAUAGAAUUUAUUUGCUUUAUUAUUAUAGAAGAAAAUUCAUCAAUUUUCAAUGAAUUAUAUCAAUGCUAAGAUGAGUAUUAAAGUAUAUUAUAAAAAACUAUUAAAUAAAUAUAGUAAACUAGAUUUUAAAUAUAUCAAUAAAAUUAUAUGAAGGAACUUGGCAAAUAAAUCAUUCUGCCUGUUUAUCAAAAACAUGGCUCCUUGGUCCUAAAAUAUGAGGAGUCGGACCUGCCCAGUGAAAAAAUUUAAACGGCCGCGGUACUCUGACCGUGCAAAGGUAGCAUAAUCAUUUGCCCUAUAAUUGAGGGCUAGUAUGAAUGGUUUGACAAGAAUGAAGCUGUCUCCAUAUAAUUAUAUAGAAUUUUAUCUUUAGGUGAAGAAGCCUAUAUAAAAUUAAAAGACAAGAAGACCCUAUCGAGCUUGAAAUAAAUUAGUGAGUUAACAUAUAUAAUCAUUAAAAUAGCAUUCACCAUAAAUUUUAGUUGGGGCGACGAAGGAACAUUAAAAGCUUCUUUUAAGUUUUUAAUUACUAAACAAGUAAGGAUCCAAUAAAUUUUGAUCAAAGGAAUUAGUUACCGUAGGGAUAACAGCAUUAUCUUUUUUGAGAGCCCAUAUCGAAAAAAAGGUUUGUGACCUCGAUGUUGGACCAGAAUAUCCUAAAGAUGCAGAAGUCUUUAAGGGUUGGUCUGUUCGACCAUUAAAAUUCUACGUGAUCUGAGUUCAGACCGGCGUGAGCCAGGUCAGUUUCUAUCUUUUAUUAUCAAGAUAAAUUUAGUACGAAAGGACCAAUUUAUUAUAUUAAAGAUAUAGUUUUUGAUAAAAUAUAAUACAAAAAUAAAUUUAAUUAUUAAGAUUAUUUAU
RNAcentral lists this ribosomal RNA (1385 nucleotides) under Charonia lampas. Its description in RNAcentral is "16S ribosomal RNA". The stretch from base 920 to 1279 matches the Rfam family "Bacterial large subunit ribosomal RNA", at positions 2075 to 2645 of the family's 2925-position model. The record is from RNAcentral. Lineage: Eukaryota; Metazoa; Mollusca; Gastropoda; Littorinimorpha; Ranellidae.